GACAGAGGGUGCAAACGUUGUUCGGAAUUACUGGGCGUAAAGCGCGUGUAGGCUGCUUCGCAAGUCGGAUGUGAAAGCCCUGGGCUCAACCCAGGAAGUGCAUUCGAAACUGCAGAGCUGGAGUCCUGGAGAGGAAGGCGGAAUUCUCGGUGUAGAGGUGAAAUUCGUAGAUAUCGAGAGGAACACCGGUGGCGAAGGCGGCCUUCUGGACAGUGACUGACGCUGGAGACGCGAAAGCGUGGGGAGCAAACAGG
RNAcentral lists this ribosomal RNA (254 nucleotides) under uncultured bacterium. RNAcentral's name for it is "partial 16S ribosomal RNA". It matches the Rfam family "Bacterial small subunit ribosomal RNA", at positions 524 to 776 of the family's 1533-position model. The record is from RNAcentral.